RNAcentral lists this long non-coding RNA (2270 nucleotides) under Limulus polyphemus (Atlantic horseshoe crab). Its description in RNAcentral is "uncharacterized LOC111085700". Lineage: Eukaryota; Metazoa; Arthropoda; Merostomata; Xiphosura; Limulidae. The record is from RNAcentral.
AGGGUGUGCUAAAAAUGAAUCCCAGGGACUACAAAGAUUCCUAUAUCAGUGCACCAAUAAUCCUUGGUCGAUCAGAUGGACAUUUAUACUGGAGACACAAGUGAUGAAAGUUUCCUUUCUGAAUGAUUUUGGUUUCUUCAUUGGUCCAUGUGAAAAAAGUUUUAAAGAAGCAGCAAGUUUGAAUGAACCACAGCAGCCACUAGAUAUCAAAAACCUUGCUGGAAAGAAGCUUCAACUUUCAGCCCUUUCUGAAUUAAUUAAAAUUAUUGAAAGACAAGUGAAUGCUUGCUUUAUUGUUUUUUGUGAGAGCUUUAAAUAAGUUUAGUAUUUAAAAAGAAAGUGACUGUUUGUUUUUUGUUUCUCCACUUUUAUGCAUCAUUAAUACAUGUAAAAGAAGCUUUUUUUUGAACAGGUGUAUAUUGUUAAUGACCAAAAGGGAAAAAAUUAGCAUAAGAUGGACAAACAGUUUCGACUUCAGUUUUUCUUCAUUGCAGAUGUGUGUUGCUGUGAUGUUUUCAUUUCAUUUGAGUUCGUAAUACUGCUUUUUUUGUAUGUGUCUAGAUCUAAAAUCUACCUCAUUUUUUUGCAUAAUUAUUGUAACAUAGGUCUAAAACCUGCAUUUUCUGAUUGAGAAAUGUUUAGUCUUCAGUAGCUACCUAUACUUAUGCUCCACAGUCUACAUUGUUUGGCUUGAACUGGGGCUUAAAUAUUCCUCUUCGUAUAUAGUUGUACUUUUAAAUAGCCAACACGUAAAAAAUGCUUUUAAAAAAUCUAAAAAAUGAUUACCUGAUAAUACACCUUACAUCUGUUUAUAACACUUCAGAUUUGUUGUUGUUCCCUUAAUUACAAUUCUAUUCUGUUUCAUGUUUACUUGUUUUAAAACUUUUUAUUUCUGUCUAAACUCCAUAUUUUAUUGGCUGUUUGUUAAAGUGUUCAGAGCAGUUUCAUUUUUAUAAGAUGUUAAGCAUUUACAUAAUCUCUGAAAGGAGCUUGUAAAAUCCUUCAAAGCAUUGAAAUGAUAAAAAAAAAAAGAUUCAAAUUGGAUGUGCCAUACCACUAGUUAAAAUUACAGAAAGUUUCUGUGACUGAUGGGGGCCAAGAUUGUUUCUGUUAGGAAACUGCUACGUUAGUGCAAACAUUUGUUUUUCUCCUAUGAUAUUUUAGCUAUUGUUUUAAGCUCAAAGGAAGGUUAGUUUUCCUUACAUUCCAACUUUCACUCUGAUUUUUUUUCUUUGUUUUUAUCAUUGUUAUUAUUACCUCGCAUGUAGCUAGACUCUUUGGUAAUAUUAAUAGGAAUUGGAGAUUUAAUCUUGUGAUUUAGGGUUAAAAAUUAAACUGUGGUAAAAUAUGAAUCAUUGAAAUUUCGUUCAUUGAUGAAUAGCAACUAAUUAUUAUGAAUAAAAAAUGCAUGGUGAUUAUUAUUAUUAUUAUUUUUUUUUUAAAUUAAGAUCCGCAUUGUGUUAGUGUUUUCACAAAACUGAAAAAAAUAUAUAUUGCAUGUUGGUCCAACACAGGUUUUCAGUAGACUCUGUAUUAGAGUGAAAUUCAAAUUAAGGAUGCUGGUUUAUCAGUUUCACUUAACUUUGUUAAAAGAUAAACUUUUAUUUAGCCAAAAAAUGUUAAACUUCUCUACUUGGUCCAAAGACUAAAGUAAGAUAAGCCUACAUGCCUCCUAGGAUUGCAGUUCUGUUGGCUUUUUUUUUUAUUUUCAUGUUUUUUGCAUAUUCUCUUAGAAUAGUUAUUUAAUCAAGAUGUAUCUAGUCAAAAUGUUCUGCACAAUUUGAAUUUGCUCUGAAAGUAUAUUUGUAUAUAAUUGUAUGUAUGUAAACUAAUGAAUUAGUGAAGACUGUGGGCAACAACUACUUUUUUAUCACUCCUAUUACAUAACUGUUAGAUUUGUAUACAGUGAGUGGAAGAGGCCAAAAGUUUAAUUGUGAUCAUUGAUUGUUCUCCUCAGAGCGGGAAAAAUAUUACAAUAUAAUUAUUAUUUUUUAAAUUAUAAAUUUUAAGUUGGAAAAGAACUGAUGGUGUGAAGGGUUAUAAGAAUAGUUUAUUGGUGUUAUUAAUUCUCAGUUUCUUAAGUUUUUAAGUAGGCUUCUAGUAAACAAGAAUUUUUUGAAAUGAUGGCACAUUCCUGCUUUGUCUCCAUCUUAAUUACUUCUUCAGAUUUAAGUUAUACAUAGAAUUGAACCUCAUUGUUAAGCUUUUCUUGUAGCUUAAGUUUUAGUAUCUCUCUUUUUUUUCCUUAUCGGAAAUGUUAGCAAAUAAUU